Molecule: ribosomal RNA, 509 nt
Filed under: uncultured bacterium
Lineage: Bacteria
Description: partial 16S ribosomal RNA
Rfam family: Bacterial small subunit ribosomal RNA
Source: RNAcentral
GACGAACGCUGGCGGCGUGCCUAAUACAUGCAAGUCGAGCGAGAACCAGACCUUCGGGUCUGGGGACAGCGGCGAACGGGUGAGUAACACGUGGGUAAUCAACCCUCGGUACUGGGAUAGCCCGGGGAAACCCGGAUUAAUACCGGAUGGCCCUUCGGAUCUUCGGUUCUGAAGGAAAAGGUAGCUUCGGCCUCCGACCGAGGACGAGCCCGCGGCGGAUUAGCUUGUUGGUGGGGUAACGGCCUACCAAGGCGGCGAUCCGUAGCUGGUCUGAGAUGACGAUCAGCCACACUGGGACUGAGACACGGCCCAGCCUCCUACGGGAGGCAGCAGUGGAGAAUCUUGCGCUAAUGCGGGAAACCGUGACGCAGCGACGCCGCGUGAGGGAAGAAGGCCUUCGGGUUGUAAACCUCUUUCAGGAGGGACGAAGCUACUCGGGUUAAUAGCCCAGAGGGUGACGGUACCUCCAGAAGAAGCCCCGGCUAACUACGUGCCAGCAGCCGCCGUAA